GGAUGUGAAGGUGAUUUGGCUGCGACAUCUGUCACCCCAUUGAUCGCCAGGGUUGAUUCGGCUGAUCUGGCUGGCUAGGCAGUUGUGCCCUUUCUCCCUCACCAUUCCAUGUGAGUCCCUCCUGAAGCUGCGUGCUCAGUUGAAGAGGAUGGUCUUCCCUGAAUAGAGACGGACUAGCCUUCAGUCGAGGGUAUACAAGUAGUUGUGCUCCCCUCAUAGAACCUCCAAACAAGAAUAGGGAAUCUUUCAGUGGAGGGGAGAGGAUAUGGCACUCUGGUGUUGGGAAUUAUAUGGAAUUGUAUCUCUCUUAUAUCACAAUUUUUCCAAUUAU
Unclassified non-coding RNA from Erinaceus europaeus (western European hedgehog), 331 nucleotides. Its record names the gene 7SK. It matches the Rfam family "7SK RNA". Rfam says of the family: 7SK was discovered as an abundant small nuclear RNA in the mid-70s but a possible function has only recently been suggested. Two independent studies have found that 7SK RNA binds the CDK9/cyclin T complex (known as elongation factor P-TEFb). Lineage: Eukaryota; Metazoa; Chordata; Mammalia; Eulipotyphla; Erinaceidae. The record is from Ensembl.